MicroRNA precursor from Cricetulus griseus (Chinese hamster), 127 nucleotides. Lineage: Eukaryota; Metazoa; Chordata; Mammalia; Rodentia; Cricetidae. The record is from Ensembl.
GGUUUCUCUGUGUAGCCUUGGCUGUCCUGGAACUCACUCUGUAGACCAGGCUGGCCUUGAACUCACAGACAUCCACCUGCCUCUGCCUCCCAAGUGCUGGGAUUAAAGGCAUGAGCUACCAAUGCCC